This 497-nucleotide ribosomal RNA is filed under the name uncultured bacterium. RNAcentral's name for it is "partial 16S ribosomal RNA". It matches the Rfam family "Bacterial small subunit ribosomal RNA", at positions 28 to 507 of the family's 1533-position model. The record is from RNAcentral.
GAUGAACGCUGGCGGCGUGCCUAAUACAUGCAAGUCGAGCGAACGGACGAGAAGCUUGCUUCUCUGAUGUUAGCGGCGGACGGGUGAGUAACACGUGGAUAACCUACCUAUAAGACUGGGAUAACUUCGGGAAACCGGAGCUAAUACCGGAUAAUAUUUUGAACCGCAUGGUUCAAAAGUGAAAGACGGUCUUGCUGUCACUUAUAGAUGGAUCCGCGCUGCAUUAGCUAGUUGGUAAGGUAACGGCUUACCAAGGCAACGAUGCAUAGCCGACCUGAGAGGGUGAUAGGCCACACUGGAACUGCAACACGGUCCAGACUCCUACGGGAGGCAGCAGUAGGGAAUCUUCCGCAAUGGGCGAAAGCCUGACGGAGCAACGCCGCGUGAGUGAUGAAGGUCUUCGCAUCGUAAAACUCUGUUAUUAUGGAAGACCAUAUGUGUAAGUAACUGUGCACAUCUUGACGGUACCUAAUCAGAAAGCCACGGCUAACUACGUG